RNAcentral lists this ribosomal RNA (348 nucleotides) under Triticum aestivum (bread wheat). Its description in RNAcentral is "partial small subunit ribosomal RNA". Lineage: Eukaryota; Viridiplantae; Streptophyta; Magnoliopsida; Poales; Poaceae. The record is from RNAcentral.
AUGCUGGACCCGAGCGGAGGAGGUGGCAUAACAGCGGUGAGCUUCCAUGUUCCUGAGCGGCCAUGGUAUUGGUCCCCUGUUCGAGGCAAGGAGAGAAGGGCAGAGAAAUUAGAGGAGGGAGCAAGACAGGUAGAGGAAAGGAAUAGACAGGGGAGGCGUGAAGAUCCUGGUCGCCAGUGCUGGUACUCCGGUGGCCGAGCGGGCGGGGCCUCGGGUGCUGCUGUUGUUCGCCGGCAACGGCCGGAUCGGGAGAAUCAGCGUGAGGAGGGAAGGAAGGAGAAGGCGGAGAGGGACGGCAGCCUGCUGGCCCUGGUCGCCGGCAGCGGAGCUGACAAGGCAGCGGUGUGA